RNAcentral lists this ribosomal RNA (253 nucleotides) under uncultured bacterium. Its description in RNAcentral is "partial 16S ribosomal RNA". It matches the Rfam family "Bacterial small subunit ribosomal RNA", at positions 524 to 776 of the family's 1533-position model. The record is from RNAcentral.
UACGAAGGGGGCUAGCGUUGUUCGGAAUUACUGGGCGUAAAGCGCGCGCAGGCGGUUCUCCAAGUCAGUGGCGAAAGCCCGGAGCUCAACUCCGGAAUUGCCAUUGAAACUGUUGAACUCGAGGACGAGAGAGGUGAGUGGAAUUCCCAGUGUAGAGGUGAAAUUCGUAGAUAUUGGGAAGAACACCGGUGGCGAAGGCGGCUCACUGGCUCGUUUCUGACGCUCAGGCGCGACAGCGUGGGGAUCAAACAGG